Long non-coding RNA from Eriocheir sinensis (Chinese mitten crab), 601 nucleotides. RefSeq lists it as uncharacterized. The record is from RefSeq and is a predicted model, not a curated record. Lineage: Eukaryota; Metazoa; Arthropoda; Malacostraca; Decapoda; Varunidae. The transcript has 4 exons.
CUGGCGUCAUGCCCAAAAGAAGAAGAAGAAGAGUAGGUGCACGGGCCGGCCUGCGUAGCGCCAUAAACCUUACUUUUUCUCGUGUUUUCCUUCAAACUACAAUGACGAGAAGAUCCACAGCCUGUGAGAAGAAGGUGGAGAGUACAGUGGCGGCCAGGGAAAGGAAGAAACACCGCAGAGAAGCCUUCAUAUGACGAAAGUGCCCUUCCACUACGCCACCACCACCACCACCACAACCACUACCACCACAACCACCACCAAAUCACCACACUAAGCGUGAAGAUGUCAGGUCGCGACACGUUGGUCCAUCGGCGCACCUUCCAGAACGCCAACCAGGUGGUGGAGUUGACCACACGCACCAUUCCCAAGGCUCAACACCACCAGCGAGGACAUCAACACCAAUCACCACCACCACCACCACCUUUCGCUCAUUGGCUACAGUGAAGGUCGUGGCAGCCAAUCAGAGAGUGUACUGAAACUCCUGCUGUGAGCUACUCCUGAGGGCCAAGACCUGCACCCUCACCACCCCUGUAAAGGAUGCCCAGCUGACCCAACCCUCCACGGUGUGUGUUGAUGCUGGGACCAAGAAGAGAAAGAGGAG